RNAcentral lists this transfer RNA (74 nucleotides) under Winogradskyella echinorum. RNAcentral describes it as "tRNA-Leu". It matches the Rfam family "tRNA". Rfam says of the family: Transfer RNA (tRNA) molecules are approximately 80 nucleotides in length. Their secondary structure includes four short double-helical elements and three loops (D, anti-codon, and T loops). Lineage: Bacteria; Pseudomonadati; Bacteroidota; Flavobacteriia; Flavobacteriales; Flavobacteriaceae. The record is from RNAcentral.
GCUCCACUAGCCCAAUUGGGAGAGGCAACGGUCUUAAACGCCGAAAAGUCCAAGUUCGAAUCUUGGGUGGAGUA